This 433-nucleotide ribosomal RNA is filed under the name uncultured bacterium. Its description in RNAcentral is "partial 16S ribosomal RNA". It matches the Rfam family "Bacterial small subunit ribosomal RNA", at positions 29 to 507 of the family's 1533-position model. The record is from RNAcentral.
AACGAACGCUGGCGGCAUGCCUAACACAUGCAAGUCGAACGACACCUUCGGGUCUAGUGGCGCACGGGUGCGUAACGCGUGGGAACCUGCCCGUAGGCUCGGAAUACCUCCCCGAAAGGGGUGCUAAUACCGGAUAAUUUCUUCGGACCAAAGAUUUAUCGCGCUUGGAUGGGCCCGAGUUGGAUUAGCUAGUUGGUAGGGUAAAAGCCUACCAAGGCUACGAUCCAUAGCUGGUCUGAGAGGAAGAGCGGCGACACUGGGACUAGGAAACGGCCGGGAAUCUUGCGCGAGGCGGCAGAGCGGAAUACAGCACUAUGGGCGAAAGGCUGAUCCAGUAAGGCUUCGUGAGUGAUGAAGUCGGUAGAGUUGUAAAGCUCGUUUACCCGGGAUGAUAAUGACAGUACCGGGAGAAUAAGCACCGGCUAACUCCGUG